GAUGAACGCUGGCGGCGUGCCUAAUACAUGCAAGUCGAGCGAACAGAUAAGGGGCUUGCUCCUUUGACGUUAGCGGCGGACGGGUGAGUAACACGUGGGUAACCUACCUAUAAGACUGGAAUAACUCCGGGAAACCGGGGCUAAUGCCGGAUAACAUGUUGAACCGCAUGGUUCUACAGUGAAAGGCGGCUUUGCUGUCACUUAUAGAUGGACCCGCGCCGUAUUAGCUAGUUGGUGAGGUAACGGCUCACCAAGGCAACGAUACGUAGCCGACCUGAGAGGGUGAUCGGCCACACUGGAACUGAGACACGGUCCAGACUCCUACGGGAGGCAGCAGUAGGGAAUCUUCCGCAAUGGGCGAAAGCCUGACGGAGCAACGCCGCGUGAGUGAUGAAGGUCUUCGGAUCGUAAAACUCUGUUAUUAGGGAAGAACAAAUGCGUAAGUAACUGUGCGCGUCUUGACGGUACCUAAUCAGAAAGCCACGGCUAACUACGUG
Molecule: ribosomal RNA, 497 nt
Filed under: uncultured bacterium
Lineage: Bacteria
Description: partial 16S ribosomal RNA
Rfam family: Bacterial small subunit ribosomal RNA
Source: RNAcentral